Daphnia pulex (common water flea) is the source of this 683-nucleotide long non-coding RNA. RefSeq lists it as uncharacterized. The record is from RefSeq and is a predicted model, not a curated record. The transcript has 5 exons. NCBI's taxonomy places the organism in Eukaryota, Metazoa, Arthropoda, Branchiopoda, Diplostraca, Daphniidae.
AAGUUUUCGUGUACCUACUACCUAGCCCAGACCUGGCCAACUAGGUGCUUGUGACAAUAGAAAUAAAAUUGUCUAAUCCAAAUUCCAAUACUGCAAGUUCGCAAGCUAUUGUCUUCUGAAGCUAAACAAUUUCUGUUGCAAGAUUUUGUAAAUCUUCAAGAUAUUGAUGCCUUCGCCAGAUCCAAUUCUUUGCUGCUAUCUAUUUUGCGGCACCACAGCAAGAAAAUGCUGCCACUUAUGAUUUUGUGGUAAUCGCCACUUAGUUCUAAUGUAGGAGGACAAUGUAAGAUUGAUAGAUUCGAGGUUAAUCCCUAUCCUCUGUUUUGGAAACCUACAAGAGAUUACUGGAAUUGAAGACUGAUAAUUUGUGAAGGAGGAUGAGGAGGGCUCUGGUCGAACGGGGACUUGGAAGGUGGAUUAUCUGAGAAAAACUACUUACUUUUGGAGGGUCAUGAGGAGUCUAUCCGGAAAUCCUGCUAUGACUAAUCGCUCCCUAGCAAAACUGGCCUCGUACUCUUCUCUCUUCUUCACCGGCCAGGUGUUGUUUAUGUUCGCGUAGUUGAUGUCCGCUGUGGUACGUUGUUGCAGCCUAUGCUGGUGAAAGCUCUUAUUGCAUGAAGUGAAACUGGCUGUUCCUUGGUCCUGCUGUCAUGUUAUGGAAAUUGCAUCAUUAUUUUGUUAAA